UAAUCUAUUAUAGAUUAAUAAAUUACAGAUCUAUUACAGAUUUCUACAAUAUUAUGCUUUCUAUGCGUACAAUCAUACUAAGACAAUAAACUUUAAACUGCUAGAAAAGAAAUACUUACAUACAACACUUGCAAAAACUAGAAAAAAGCUUCCACUCUUCUGGACAAUAGCUGGGUAGAUGAUCCCAGUGACAAUCACACAUAUAUGGUUCGCACAGCACUCUAAAACACGCAAAUAAAAUAUUAGAACUGACACUCAGAUAAAAUACUUGGACUCUCACUCUAGAAUACUCCGCCUCCCUUCCUUCCUUCGAUAUCCUUUACUAAGGAACCCUUCGCCCUUUUAUAAGCAUAUAGCGGACUUCAAAUUAUUAUUUCAGAUCCGUAACGCAAAAGCAAGUCUGAGGUGACUUAAAGAUGUCGGUGGCAGAUGCUGAGGUAAUUAAAGAUGUCGGUGGCAGAUGUUGAGGUGACUAAAGAUGUCGGUGGCAUAUGUUGUUGCUGAGGUGACUAAAGGUAAUAGUUUAUAAAAUGAUUAUAAACAAUAAACUUUCUAAUGCUGCAGUCUGUAAUAAUGGUAACUGCUUUGAACUCCCUUUCAUUAUGGUUAAAGAAUUAAGCCAAUCUGUAAUCCUAG
RNAcentral lists this long non-coding RNA (636 nucleotides) under Amborella trichopoda. RNAcentral's name for it is "long non-coding RNA (ATRI_LNC002927)". The record is from RNAcentral. Lineage: Eukaryota; Viridiplantae; Streptophyta; Magnoliopsida; Amborellales; Amborellaceae.